RNAcentral lists this ribosomal RNA (393 nucleotides) under Triticum aestivum (bread wheat). Its description in RNAcentral is "partial small subunit ribosomal RNA". The record is from RNAcentral. Lineage: Eukaryota; Viridiplantae; Streptophyta; Magnoliopsida; Poales; Poaceae.
GAUUGUGUUUACUGCUUGGAACAAGAGUCUUGUUCUCACCUAUUUUUUGAAUGUAUAGUUGCUAAACAUCUCUGGGCCCACAUUGAGGAAUAUUUCUCUAGUCAGAUUGGCUCAUCCUUCGAAUAUGUCGCCAGAUUCUGGAUUGCUACCAAAAAGUGCUUAGUUUUAAACACUGUUAGCUCAGCUGUCCUUUGGUGCCUCUGGAAAUAUAGAAAUGCUAUGAUUUUCAGUAACACCUCCUGGAUUUCCAUUCCGCAGGUCUUGAGGUUGAUCAGGAACAUGGUGAGGAACUGGGCGAUUAUCUCCUCCGGAUCGGACAAGGAUAAGUUGAUGAGCUUCAUGGAAACCCUAACAAGAUCCCUCCAGAAACCGUUGGCGAUCACUUGUGGCUGA